This 399-nucleotide ribosomal RNA is filed under the name uncultured bacterium. Its description in RNAcentral is "bacterial SSU rRNA". It matches the Rfam family "Bacterial small subunit ribosomal RNA", at positions 32 to 413 of the family's 1533-position model. The record is from RNAcentral.
AAUCAACGCUGGCGGCGUGCCUAACACAUGCAAGUCGAACGCGAAAGCCCCUUCGGGGGUAAGUAGAGUGGCGUCCGGGUGAGUAACACGUAGGUAAUCUACCUUCGGGUGGGGAAUAACCAGUCGAAGAUUGGCUAAUACCGCAUAAUGCAGCGGCACCUAAUGGUGAUUAGUUGUUAAAGCGGGGGAUCGUAAGACCUCGCGCCUGAAGAGGAGCCUGCGGCAGAUUAGCUAGUUGGGAGGUAAUGGCUCACCAAGGCUUCGAUCUGUAGCUGGUCUGAGAGGACGGCCAGCCACACUGGCACUGACACACGGGCCAGACUCCUACGGGAGGCAGCAGUGGGGAAUUUUGGGCAAUGGGCGAAAGCCUGACCCAGCAACGCCGCGUGAGGGAGGAAA